Cebus imitator (Panamanian white-faced capuchin) is the source of this 300-nucleotide long non-coding RNA. RefSeq lists it as uncharacterized. NCBI's taxonomy places the organism in Eukaryota, Metazoa, Chordata, Mammalia, Primates, Cebidae. The transcript is spliced from 2 exons. The record is from RefSeq and is a predicted model, not a curated record.
AGAAGAGGAAAUGUUGGCCGGGCGCAGUGACUCACACCUGUAAUCCCAGCACUUUGGGGGGCCAAGGUGUGUGGAUCACCUGAAGUCAGAAGUUCAAGACCAGCCUGGCCAAUAUGCGAAACCCCGUCUCUACUAAAAAUACAAAAAUUAGCCAGGCAUGGUGGCUGACACCUGUAAUCCCAGCUACUUGGGAGGCUGAGGCAGGAAUCACUUGAACCCGGGAGGCGGAGGUUGCAGUGAGCCAAGAUAGUGCCACUGCACUGCAGACUGGGCGACAGAGCAGGACUCCAUCUCAAAAAA